CAUGGCUUUUUGUUAUUAAUAUAAGGUCUAACCUGCCCAAUGAUAAUUUAUUAAAUGGCCGCGGUAUUUUGACCGUGCAAAGGUAGCAUAAUCAUUAGUUUUUUAAUUGAAAGCUGGUAUGAAAGGUUGAAUGAGAAAAUAACUGUCUUUAUAAUAUUUAAUUAGAACUUUAUUUUUAAGUAAAAAAGCUUAAAUAAUAUUUAAAGACGAGAAGACCCUUUAGAGUUUUAUAAAAUUUAUAUUUUUGAUUUUUUAGAAUUAAUUAUAAUGAAAUAAAAUUUUAUUUGAUUGGGGUGAUUGAAAAACUUAAAUAACUUUUUUUUUUAUUGCACAUUUAUAUAUGAAUAUUUGAUCCAUAAAUUAUGAUUAUAAGAUUAAAUUACCUAAGGGAUAACAGCGUUAUUUUUUUUGAGAGUUCUUAUCGAAAAAAAAGAUUGCGACCUCGAUGUUGGAUUAAAAUUAAAUUAUGGUGUAGGGGCUAUAAC
This 485-nucleotide ribosomal RNA is filed under the name Meligethes pseudochinensis. RNAcentral describes it as "partial large subunit ribosomal RNA". It matches the Rfam family "Bacterial large subunit ribosomal RNA", at positions 1814 to 2568 of the family's 2925-position model. The record is from RNAcentral. Lineage: Eukaryota; Metazoa; Arthropoda; Insecta; Coleoptera; Nitidulidae.